This 360-nucleotide ribosomal RNA is filed under the name uncultured eukaryote. Its description in RNAcentral is "partial 18S ribosomal RNA". It matches the Rfam family "Eukaryotic small subunit ribosomal RNA", at positions 592 to 976 of the family's 1831-position model. The record is from RNAcentral.
CAAUAGCAUAUAUUAACGUUGUUGCAGUUGAAAAGCUCGUAGUUGAACUUUUGGUAGGAGCGACCUGGCCUUGGGCGCAUGCCCUUGUUUGCCGUGUGUCGUAUCUGGCCAUCCUUUUCCGUUUCGGCGGGAAUCUUUUACUGUGAGUAAACUGGAGUGCUCAAAACAAGGCGUUUGUUUGGUACAUUAAAGCAUGGAAUAAUAAGAUAGGACCUGGUUACUAUUUUGUUGGUUUGCAUAGCUAGGUAAUGAUUAACAGGGACAGUUGGGGGUAUUCGUAUUUAAUUGUCAGAGGUGAAAUUCUUGGAUUUAUGAAAGACGAACGACUGCGAAAGCAUUUACCAAGGAUGUUUUCAUUAA